UACGUAGGUGGCAAGCGUUAUCCGGAAUUAUUGGGCGUAAAGAGCGCGCAGGUGGUUGAUUAAGUCUGAUGUGAAAGCCCACGGCUUAACCGUGGAGGGUCAUUGGAAACUGGUCGACUUGAGUGCAGAAGAGGGAAGUGGAAUUCCAUGUGUAGCGGUGAAAUGCGUAGAGAUAUGGAGGAACACCAGUGGCGAAGGCGGCUUACUGGGCCGUAACUGACGCUGAGGCGCGAAAGCGUGGGGAGCGAACAGGAUUAGAUACCCCCGUA
RNAcentral lists this ribosomal RNA (269 nucleotides) under uncultured prokaryote. Its description in RNAcentral is "partial 16S ribosomal RNA". It matches the Rfam family "Bacterial small subunit ribosomal RNA", at positions 524 to 792 of the family's 1533-position model. The record is from RNAcentral.